CUGAAUGUGUCGUCGACCGGCGAAUGGGUGAGUAACGCGUAUCCAACUGCCCUUCAGUAGGGAAUAGCCUUGCGAAAGUAAGAUUAAUGCCCUAUGUAUUUUUCCGAUCCCAUGAGAAGAGAAAUAAAGAUUUAUCGCUGAAGGAUGGGGAUGCGUCUGAUUAGGCAGUUGGCGGGGUAACGGCCCACCAAACCGACGAUCAGUAGGGGUUCUGAGAGGAAGGUCCCCCACAUUGGAACUGAGACACGGUCCAAACUCCUACGGGAGGCAGCAGUGAGGAAUAUUGGUCAAUGGGCGAGAGCCUGAACCAGCCAAGUAGCGUGCAGGAAGACGGCCCUAUGGGUUGUAAACUGCUUUUGUGCGGGGAUAAAGUGAGUCACGCGUGACUUAUUGCAGGUACCGCACGAAUAAGGACCGGCUAAUUCCGUGCCAGCAGCCGCGGUAAUACGGAAGGUCCGGGCGUUAUCCGGAUUUAUUGGGUUUAAAGGGAGCGUAGGCCGGAGAUUAAGUGUGUUGUGAAAUGCGGGGGCUCAACCUCUGGAUUGCAGCGCAUACUGGUUUUCUUGAGUACGCGCAACGUUGGCGGAAUUUGUCGUGUAGCGGUGAAAUGCUUAGAUAUGACGAAGAACUCCGAUUGCGAAGGCAGCUGACGGGAGCGCAACUGACGCUGAGGCACGAAAGCGUGGGGAUAGAACAGGAUUAGAUACCCUGGUAUUCC
RNAcentral lists this ribosomal RNA (718 nucleotides) under uncultured Prevotellaceae bacterium. RNAcentral describes it as "bacterial SSU rRNA". It matches the Rfam family "Bacterial small subunit ribosomal RNA", at positions 79 to 796 of the family's 1533-position model. The record is from RNAcentral. Lineage: Bacteria; Pseudomonadati; Bacteroidota; Bacteroidia; Bacteroidales; Prevotellaceae.